UCUGGGGAAGCUCUGAAGUGGAGCACCUGGCUCGGGUCCAGGAGGUCGCUGGUGCAAGUCCAGCCCCCAGACUCA
RNAcentral lists this transfer RNA (75 nucleotides) under Zooshikella ganghwensis. Its description in RNAcentral is "tRNA-Pro". It matches the Rfam family "tRNA". From Rfam's summary of the family: Transfer RNA (tRNA) molecules are approximately 80 nucleotides in length. Their secondary structure includes four short double-helical elements and three loops (D, anti-codon, and T loops). Lineage: Bacteria; Pseudomonadati; Pseudomonadota; Gammaproteobacteria; Oceanospirillales; Zooshikellaceae. The record is from RNAcentral.